ACGGCUCAGUAACACGUAGUCGACAUGCCCAAGGGACGUGGAUAACCUCGGGAAACUGAGGAUAAACCGCGAUAGGCCAUGAUUUCUGGAAUGGAUCAUGGCCGAAAUCUAUAUGGCCCUUGGAUUGGACUGCGGCCGAUCAGGCUGUUGGUGAGGUAAUGGCCCACCAAACCUAUAACCGGUACGGGCUUUGAGAGAAGGAGCCCGGAGAUGGGCACUGAGACAAGGGCCCAGGCCCUAUGGGGCGCAGCAGGCGCGAAAACUCUGCAAUAGGCGAAAGCUUGACAGGGUUACUCUGAGUGAUGCCCGCUAAGGGCAUCUUUUGGUACCUCUAAAAAUGGUGCAGAAUAAGGGGUGGGCAAGUCUGGUGUCAGCCGCCGCGGUAAUACCAGCACCCCGAGUGGUCGGGACGAUUAUUGGGCCUAAAGCAUCCGUAGCCGGUUUUACAAGUCCUCCGUUAAAUCCAACUGCUUAACAGAUGGGCCGCGGAGGAUACUAUAAGACUAGGAGGCCAGUGGCGAAGGCGGUCUGCCAGAACACGUUCGACGGUGAGGGAUGAAAGCUGGGGGAGCAACCCGGAUUAGAUACCCGGGUAGUCCCAGCUGUAAACGAUGCAAACUCGGUGAUGCAUUGGCUUAUGGCCAAUGCAGUGCCGCAGGGAAGCCGUUAAGUUUGCCGCCUGGGAAGUACGGACGCAAGUCUGAAACUUAAAGGAAUUGGGAGAGGCAAACGGUACUCAGUGGGUAGGGGUAAAAUCCACUGAUCCACUGAAGACCACGGCGGGGGAGCAC
This 791-nucleotide ribosomal RNA is filed under the name uncultured crenarchaeote. RNAcentral describes it as "bacterial SSU rRNA". It matches the Rfam family "Archaeal small subunit ribosomal RNA", at positions 85 to 941 of the family's 1478-position model. The record is from RNAcentral. Lineage: Archaea; Thermoproteati; Thermoproteota.